RNAcentral lists this ribosomal RNA (253 nucleotides) under uncultured bacterium. RNAcentral's name for it is "partial 16S ribosomal RNA". It matches the Rfam family "Bacterial small subunit ribosomal RNA", at positions 524 to 776 of the family's 1533-position model. The record is from RNAcentral.
UACGUAGGUGACAAGCGUUGUCCGGAUUUACUGGGCGUAAAGAGCGCGCAGGCGGUCGUUCAAGUCGAGUGUGAAAGCCCCCGGCUCAACUGGGGAGGGUCAUUCGAUACUGAUCGACUCGAAGGCAGGAGAGGGUAGUGGAAUUCCCGGUGUAGUGGUGAAAUGCGCAGAUAUCAGGAGGAACACCGGUGGCGAAGGCGGGUCUCUGGGCCGUAACUGACGCUGAGGAGCGAAAGCGUGGGGAGCGAACAGG